UACGUAGGGUGCGAGCGUUAAUCGGAAUUACUGGGCGUAAAGGGUGCGUAGGCGGUUUGAUAAGUCUGAUGUGAAAUCCCCGGGCUCAACCUGGGAACGGCAUUGGAGACUGUCAAGCUAGUGUGCGUCAGAGGGGGGUAGAAUUCCACGUGUAGCAGUGAAAUGCGUAGAGAUGUGGAGGAAUACCGAUGGCGAAGGCAGCCCCCUGGGAUGACACUGACGCUGAAGCACGAAAGCGUGGGGAGCAAACAGG
RNAcentral lists this ribosomal RNA (253 nucleotides) under uncultured bacterium. Its description in RNAcentral is "partial 16S ribosomal RNA". It matches the Rfam family "Bacterial small subunit ribosomal RNA", at positions 524 to 776 of the family's 1533-position model. The record is from RNAcentral.